AAGAGCAUAGUCUAAUGGUAUGACAACGGUCUCCAAAACCAUUAGUGAUGGUUCGAUUCCAUCUGCUCUUGCCA
RNAcentral lists this transfer RNA (74 nucleotides) under Glaesserella parasuis. Its description in RNAcentral is "tRNA-Trp". It matches the Rfam family "tRNA". Rfam says of the family: Transfer RNA (tRNA) molecules are approximately 80 nucleotides in length. Their secondary structure includes four short double-helical elements and three loops (D, anti-codon, and T loops). The record is from RNAcentral. Lineage: Bacteria; Pseudomonadati; Pseudomonadota; Gammaproteobacteria; Pasteurellales; Pasteurellaceae.